UAAAAGUGAAAAAAAAUUCCAUCUGCCUAGUGGUAUAUAAGAGUUUAGGUUGACUGAUGCUAUGGUUUCAGAUUAUGUAGUUAUACUUUUUUAUUUAUGAUGGAUGUGUACUGGUACAAAAGGGCUUAACCUUUUUAAGUUCUAUCAUCAGUAACAAAUAUAUGAUUCCAGAUUUAUUGUUGUGUGGUAUUGUUAGAAUCCGUGCUCUGAUAUACAGUAAUGCGUAAACCUUAGUGCUACAACUUGCUUGUUAUAUCUGUGUUAUCUUCUGUUUUUUUUGUUGUGUAAGUCAACAAACUAUGAUUAUUAAUUUGUAGGUUCCAUGAUGUUUUAAGUUUUAUGCACAUCGUGCAGGAUAUGUGUAUCGGCUUUUACACUCGCAACAAUCAC
RNAcentral lists this long non-coding RNA (390 nucleotides) under Triticum aestivum (bread wheat). RNAcentral's name for it is "long non-coding RNA (TAES_LNC022128)". The record is from RNAcentral. Lineage: Eukaryota; Viridiplantae; Streptophyta; Magnoliopsida; Poales; Poaceae.